GUAGGUGGCAAGCGUUGUCCGGGAUUUACUGGGGCGUAAAGGGGCGUGUAGGGCGGGUCCGGUUAAGUCCGGUGUGAAAUCUCCCGGCUCAACUGGGAGAGGUCAUCGGAUACUGACGGACUAGAGGGGGGUAGAGGAAGGUGGAAUUCCCGGUGUAGCGGUGGAAUGCGUAGAUAUCGGGAGGAACACCAGUGGCGAAGGCGGCCUUCUGGGCCCACCCUGACGCUGAGGCGCGAAAGCGUGGGGAGCAAACCGGAUUAGAUACCCGGGUAGUCCACGCCCUAAACGUUGGAUGCUAGGUGUGGGGGGUGUCGACCCCCUCCGUGCCGUAGCUAACGCUUUAAGCAUCCCGCCUGGGGAGUACGGCCGCAAGGCUA
RNAcentral lists this ribosomal RNA (377 nucleotides) under uncultured organism. RNAcentral's name for it is "partial 16S ribosomal RNA". It matches the Rfam family "Bacterial small subunit ribosomal RNA", at positions 527 to 896 of the family's 1533-position model. The record is from RNAcentral.